Molecule: long non-coding RNA, 200 nt
Filed under: Panax ginseng (ginseng)
Lineage: Eukaryota; Viridiplantae; Streptophyta; Magnoliopsida; Apiales; Araliaceae
Description: long non-coding RNA (PGIN_LNC018405)
Source: RNAcentral
UUAUGUUAUUUCUCUGAAGCUGCCGAACCAGAUACCCAGUUCUUGACAAAAUUUUCUUGGGCUCGAUUAUAAUCAUCAAAAUUGUCAAAGGGAUAAAAGUCUAUUGGACUGAAGUUAACAUUAAUCGUGCAUCAAAGGGUGAUAAAUGGGGUUUUGCAUCAAGGAAUUCAUAUGAAAAAGCAAUCAAAAAGGUAAGUUAU